GCACUUUCACUUUGUCUUAGUUGCAGGAUCUUUCAUAAGAAUGGGGGAGGGGAGGGAAAUAAGGCUGGAGACCCAGAUAAAUAUCCAUGGCAAAGUGAGACUGAAAUAGUCUUUGUAGCGCUCAGACUUUAUUAACUCUUUGAUCAGGCACGAGGAAAAAAAAUCUGAUCAUAUCAUCACCUGCUAAGCAGAAAUUCACGGAUAACACACAGGGAUUCGGUGGCAUUGUGACUCGGUAGCACAACCUCUGUACUAUAUAUGGAGCAACUCUAAAUAGGUAACCGAUCUAAGUACAUAGGGGCAAUUGUUUAUAUCCUAUUGAACCUGGGUACUAAGCACCAUAACAGAGAUAGUUAGUUAAUUUCCUAUUGAAUAUCUGCAGCAAGCACCAGAACAGACAAACGCAUGGAUAGAUAGAAAUCAAUUUUAAAAUACAUAGAUAAAUGGACAGGGAGACAGUUGCUUCUAUACAAAUAUACACAUACAUAUAAACGCAUGUGUGAGAUGGGGACUUAUACACAUACAGUCAAACUAAGUAGAAACAUGGGGACACAGAUGCAUACAAAACUAUAUUCAGGAUUAAUUGCAGCAGCUUUCCCCCUCCACACACACUUUUUCAUGUUGCCACAUGCACACCCCUUCUGCCGCAGAAAUAAUAUAUGUCUCUAAAGCCGCAGGUGCUGAGAUGAUUGGAAAGUUGUAAAAAGCACCUAGACUUGACACUGUCCUGUUUAUAAACCUGGAAUAUAAUAAGAUUCCACCAACAAAGAUGCGCGCCUGGUCAAUUUCAAAGGCAGGCUGUAGAAUUCCAAUUGAUCAUGAUGUAGCAAUAUAAACCCUUAACUUAAAUAGUAAUCGAGGGGGAGACAGAAAGAAAGGGGUUGGGGGAAGGGACCUUUUACAGUUAAAAUGUGGAGAGCUGCCUUAUGAUUUCCAAAUAACGCAGACAUUAGGGGUCACACCUUUUGGUUGAGAAUAUAAAACAUAGUUGUUGAAUGUAGUUUAUGUGGCAUGUCUUGGAAAAGGUUUCCUCUCUCAAACCUUAUAAAGUACACAGGGAUAAUUCAUCAUCUAAAAACAUUAACAUCUUCUUAACAAGUGCAGAAAGGGCGUUUAUUUUUUUUAACAGCGUCCACAUUAUGAAUAGUUUGAAUAUGUGAUCUACCUAUGUAUGCUUAAAAGCUCCAGUAUAUUCGGAUUACUCACACCAUAAUGAAGAAUACCCCCGAUUAACUAUUUGCUCUUCGAGGGAUACAAGAAUACAACUAUUUAUUAGCUAGUUUGCUAUUUAUUUGAAAACACCCCUGCGAUGUAGGCUGAUGUGGAAUAGAUGAAUAUAAUGAUGAACUGCAGCUAAUUUUGCUGAAUAAUAUUUGAAAAAUGAGUGUAUCGCUGAUAGAGGAAGAUUCUAAAAUGUCCUUAUCAGAGCUAAGUCAUAAUAGCACAGUUAUAUUUCGAAAGUAGGAUGGUAUUAUUAAUCAUUAUUAUUCUAUUAUUUAUUAUUGUUUACAAAAUAGAAUAAAUCCCUCCUGCCAUUUUACUGCAGAUGUAAAUUUAUUUUAAUGAGCGGAGGGCGGAAAGAUUUAUGUUUACUAAAAUAAAGUUUGGGAUAGCCUCCGUGUAAAUCGUUAGAAAAGAGGGGGAGAUCUGUUUUUCUGGCAGAAACUUGCCUAAUAGUCCUCUAAUUCUUUAUAGAUUAAAUCGCAAUAGGAAUACAGCACCGAACAAAUACCGAGUUUCACUCUGAACUCAGUGGAAAGCAGUUACGUCUAACAGAAUGCAAUGAAUUCCUCUUCUCCCUGAAUAUAGUAUGUGUGUGUUUUUCUCUUCCACCACACUGAAGUUCCAUGAAUAGGGAAAGUGGCUCCUAUUGUGUGCCUCUGAACUUCCAAGUCAAUGCAAUUUUUAACCACUGGCUUGUGGUACUUUGAAAAUCACCAGGGGCUGUCAGAGUUGGGUCCUCUGAAAAAUUUACAGUGCUAAAUCAGAGCAUAUGCUGUGAGAGAGGGGAAAAAAAUUGCUUAAGAUUGGAGCAAGUACAGUAUCUGUCUGCCCCCUAGUGUAAGUCUCUUAUCUGCCUAAAAUUCAACUUUAAAAGAAAAGGAUCUCUUAAAGGGAAACGACUUUUGGCUCACGUAUGCAUACGAGAAUGAAACUUCUGUGCAUUUUAAUCUGAUUAAUUCCUAAGGAUUUAAAAUUAAUUGGCUUGGACACUCCUAGAUCGGACAGUAAGAUUUCUGCAUCAGGGUUUCUCCCAAGCCCUGUGUUGAAUAGGUAUUUUUAAGCGGGGGGGGGGGGGUGAUUGGUUUGUGAUUUUUUUUUUUUAAAAUGAGAAGCCAUGCCUCUCACGCUUUUGUCAGAACAGAGCAGUUUUGCUGCUUAAAGUCAGAUCUGCACCUUUUGCCAUAAAGAAGGAUAAAUAUUUGCCUUAAAGCUGCAGACCAGCUGCCAACCGCACCUUCCGAUGAAGGAAGAGCGUCUUGCUACACCUUGUUUGGAGCUGAAAAGACCCGAGACUUAAAAACCAAACCAAAACAAAGGGGGGGGGGGGGACAACAACAACCCCACAGCCCCCCCCCCCCAGUCCAGCCGGAAACAAUAUAGAUAAAUAAGAGUGAAAUCUCCUAACUUCGUGAGUGUUGUGGUCGGAUGUAUGCCCCCGAUUUCAAACCCGCCAAGAGAAAAACCGCAAACAGCUGCAGGCGAGCGAUCAGCACAUGCACAGAGAGGGAAUUAGGGGGGUGGGUGGGUGGGUGGUGAAGGGAUAGUGUCCUGGGAAGGGUCGGUAGGGAACGCAAGCACAUGCUAAAGCAAGCUGGAAAAGAAUCGGAGCUAACCGGGGAAUCUCUCUCUCUCUCUCUGCCCCUGAAAUCCCAGCUAGAAGGACUUACUCCACAUGUCUUUUUUCCCCAUUUUAAAAUAAAUAAGUCCAUCCAUAAAACCCGCUGUUGCUCAUUAAAACCUCUAGAAAGACAUUUCCCCAGCCCUUCACAAACAUGGCAACUUUAGAAAUGCAAAGCGCGGCUUUGGGGUUUUACUUUGUUAAUUUUUUUUAAAAAAAUUGAGGAUCCUGUUGCAAACCUGAGAUUACUCCCAUUUUCUACCCCCCCCCCAAAAAAAAAAAAACAGUCCUUCCUCCUUUCCUAAUGAACGAGACGCUAGCGCAGGGAGAGUUUGGGACAAUUUGGAAUACAUUAUGCUGCAUUUGGCAGUCUAGUACAGUUUUAAACUUAAUGGAUUCCUGCUUCUUCCUUUUUGUUUUAAGAAAAGAAUGGGACACACACACACACACACACACACACACGGAUCUUUUAUUUUAGGAAGCUGUUAUGGUAAGAAGUGUGUCAAACUUGACAAAUGGAACAAACCUUCUUCCACUCUUACUUGUCUUUGCCUUAAAACAGGAAUUAAGUUCACCACAGUUCUGAAUGUUAAUUGCAUGUUUACUGAGCUAAUGAAAAUUACAAAUGGGUUUUAGCUCCUCAAACAAGGAUGAAAAAACGAUGAAGGCAACUAUCAUCACAGCCUGGGGGGAGGAAUAAACGCACAAUAUUGCCCAGAAUGGUAAAUUUUUUAACUGUUCAUGAAUACCCUAACUAUUGUGGACACAAGUUUCCACUCCUGUGAAGUCUGAUCAGUACAUGGGAGAUGGAGACACAGUCCUGUUGAAUGAAUUUUUAUUAUUGCCAGAGGGACAUUCAGACUUCCCUUACCCCCAUGCAGUCCUCCCCACUCUGCAAAAUAAACCCCUUACGGGUGAGAAUUCUUAAGGUGUGCUGACAAGCAUAUGAUACGUAGUAAAGUAAUUUCCUCCCUUAGCCCAGCCUCCCCCUCCCCAUACACCAUCUUUCCCAAAUGUUCAUUUUCUAUCAAUCCCAAGGGUUGGGAGGGAGGGGGGCAGAGGACGGGAGAAUUAACCCUCCCCCCAGGUUUAUCCUUGCAAUCCAAGGAUGAAAGGAUGACCUAAUAAUUCAGUUUUAUGAUAACAAUUUUCGUGCUUGAAAACAAACUGCCCAUAAGGAAACAAGGAAGAGAGAUAGAGAGAGAUUGUGGACUAUACCUUUAAGGAUUCUCCCCCCCCGCUCCCGCCCCCCCUCCAAGGUGCUGCAUGGAGGGGAUUUAAUUAAACCGCCUAAAGAUGUUUUAAAUCUAAAAUAAAAAAUAAUUCCAGGGAGACGUUUUCCCUCUGCUGUGCAGCUCAGCGUUUGAAAACUUUGGCCCAAGUUGUAGCGACAGCCGCAACUCUGCUCUUCAGGGGUCAGAGUAUGAAGAUAGAAAUAUGUUAACUGCUGAGGCAGGUGGGUACAUUUUUGAUCAAGAGACUUCUGAUUCUGCAAUGAGGUCAGCUUGAGUGGACGCAGGCACUCAAAUGAAGUCCCAGAGGCUGGACAGAUUUGAUGAUGAAUUUUAGCAGACAGAAUCCCUGCCCACUGCAGCUGUGAAGCCCUGGGAAAUAAUCUACACAAAAGAAUUUCGGAAAUGAAAGCUGUCUCUGCUAUCUCAUAUUUAAUUAACACAGCCAAUAAGGUGCAAGUUCUUGUUGCCCAAUCCCCACCUUCAGUCAAGGAACAGGUAUGAGUAAUGCAUUGAAAGGAGAAAAUUAAAGACUAGAAGCUGUCAUUCCAGUCUAGAUUGUGAGACCCGCACUCAUGUUGGCCUCAUACCUUUGCUGUCCCAUCAAAAUCAAGAAGCAAGAAAUGGCAUAACUAAUGUGUACUGUCGAAAUCAAUGGAACUCCUUGGGAGCACAGUUCUACUCAAUGAGGAAAGCUGCUGCAUUCUGCAUAAGUGAGUUUAGUAACCUCCAUCUUCAACUCUGGAUACUGAGAACUGCUAAGGCCCAGCCUAGAAAUGAUGAACACAUAGAUCAUUGUGGUCAGAUCCUCAUCUAAGAAGGCUGAAGGUUGGCUGUCGUGGAGACCAGAGAAAAAGUAACCAAAAGAAAGGAAAAGAAACACUGGAGAAUAAAAGUACAUUUGAAAUGGAAGAAAUCUACAUUUCAAUGAAAAUACUUUUAAGCCAUUUCAAAUGACUGAGUGAAAUAAUUACAAAGUUUGGAAAUAGAGAACAGUAGCUUUGAUAUCUUUUUCUUCUGUGAAGCAAUUAAAAUAAGCAAUUUUUCAAAUACUAAGCAGAAAAUUGCUAAUGGCUGAACCCAAAAGCUUUCAUUUCAUUCUUGGGGUCUUUUUUCUUCUAAAAAAAGACCAAAAAAUAUUAAGGUGGUUUUCUAGAUAGAUUAGUGCAUAAAGCAGUUGUUAGUUGGAUGUCAUAAAAACUACAGCAGCACAGAAUAGCUGAGAUUAAGAGCCAGAUUUAAAUCAUGCAACAGUCCAGUUAAUAUCAAUGUAUAAUUAAGAAAAGCAUAAGAAGUCUGUAAUGGUGGUUUGAUGGAAAAAAACUCUAAUAGGGUUUCUUUCGGAAUUUUCCAUUUCAGUCGCUCUUGUAGAUAUAUAAUGGAUUUCCUACCCUGUCUUUGGCAUUCGCGGGAAUCAUCCAAAAGUUAAAAUCAAGCCCUAAAAUGGAACACAUGUAGACAAAUUAGCCUAUCUGGAGAGCGGUCUUUAUAGAAUGACAACUUGAGCUUACGCUCAAAAUUUAGUACAAAUGUCUCAGAUCUGGUGGGAAAACCCUAUUUGCCAUAUAAUCUUAAGCAAUGUAAUACUAACCCAUUUCCUCACCUUUCUAAUCCUGCUGAAAUUCCUAACAAUUCAGAAAUAUGAAACUAUGGGCGAUUAAACUUAACUAAUUAGUCUAUUUAAAUGGCAAGGUUUUCUCUAGUCAUGUAUAUUAGUAGUACAUUGAGGUGGGUUCUUCCAUUGCUGGCAGAGAGAUUUAGAGUCCACGGUUCCCCAUUAAUGUCAUGGAAUUUCAUGAAUCUCCCACUCUUCACAGGAUAACUAGAUCCCUUGAAUGAAACUAAAGGGGUGGCAUCUGCCGUACCAUACAAAUCAUCAAGGAAGUUUGGCCAACUACCCCGUAGGACAGAUGCUGCUUUUAUGGUUGUGCCUUGAAUGUCUAGGGUGCACUGAAGUUGUAAAAUUAAGGACAGCGUGUAGCUAUUUUAGCAUGUACACAACUGCCUAGCGGAGAGGAGAAAAGGACUGGCACUGGAUUAAAGCACAAUAUAUUUGUUGCCAUCACUUUGUUUUUGGCCCUAUGAAAGCUGGGGGAAUUAUCUCCAGAGUCCAGGAAGAUUGCAAACUCAAAAUAACCUGGUACCUCAGGAGCAAGCACAGAAGGGAAUCAUUUUAUAAGUCAUUAGAACAUAUUAGCCUAUAAUACACUGACUAGAGUAAAACAGAGUGCAUUAUUCCAUCUGUCUAUAUAUUCCUUUCCAAUACUAAAUCUGUCUGGAGACCUUUCAACAUUAUAUUAUUAAACACUGAAAGUUCUACAGUCACAUUCACCAUUACUACUUGAGUCAUCGUGGUCCAGAUCUUUUUAAAUGGUUGCUCAAGACAGAGCACUGGUGAUUCUGAGCGCAGCUUUCAAUAUAUUUAUGCAAUUCUUUGAAACAAAGUCAGUUAACUGAGUCUUUUCGAGCAACUGUUCAUAACAGAGGUAAGCUACACUGAUAAAACAUGAAAAAAGGGCUUUCAAACUUGUCCGACACAUGCACAGCAGAUAGACCCCAAAUGGGUGAGGAAACUUUCUCCACUCCUGCACAAAAGCCAUUCAUCUUUAGAGCUCACUUUAAUUGUGUUCCAGCCCCCUCACAUGGAACCCAACUGAGAAGACUGAAAUAAACCAAUACACCAGUUACCUAGUUACAGUAAGUCUAACAUAUACACAGAAAAGAUAGCAUUUCCUUUACUAAAGUCCAUUGCAAUUGAAAUUGCUCGAAGACGAGUAGGUGGACCAGGGGAUAGAUAAUGGGAUACAGAUCUUCUCAUUUCUAGGUCUCUAAUCAAGUGCAGCUAGACAGUGACGCAACAAGUAAUUAUCUAUCUGAUGAAAGGGAGAGGUAAUACUGUGGGACAUAUGGGUAUAUGCCUUUGGAUAUGAAAUCUGAGAGUUGAAUGGAAAUAUCUAGUUUGUACAAUCUGUCAGGAGACCUGCAAAGCCUAGUUUGGGUAUAAGAGGGAAGAAAAAGCAUUUUAACACUAGGUAAAUUUAGUUCUAUGAAGGAUCCUAGAGGGACAAUGGGAAUGAAGUCCCGUAUCUUGUGAUAAACUAUUUAGAUCUUUCCUAUCUGACUGCCUCCUCCUAUCAUCCUCCCAUUAUCCCUCCCCACCUCUUCCCUUUAUCUAUAUCGUCCUUGCCUCUUCUGCUCCCAUGCCUGCAAUUCCUUUUAGCAUCAUAUACCCUCCCACACUCAAAUAUAUACAAUAUUUUUGCAACACGUCUCCAUUUCCAUCUUUGUAUACACAUAUAUG
Molecule: long non-coding RNA, 7375 nt
Organism: Chelonia mydas (Green sea turtle)
Lineage: Eukaryota; Metazoa; Chordata; Testudines; Cheloniidae
Exons: 10
Source: RefSeq, a predicted model, not a curated record